Molecule: ribosomal RNA, 269 nt
Filed under: uncultured prokaryote
Description: partial 16S ribosomal RNA
Rfam family: Bacterial small subunit ribosomal RNA
Source: RNAcentral
UACGUAGGGUCCGAGCGUUGUCCGGAAUUAUUGGGCGUAAAGAGCUCGUAGGCUGUAUGUCGCGUCUGCUGUGAAAGACCGGGGCUUAACUUCGGUUUUGCAGUGGAUACGGGCAUGCUUGAGGUAGGUAGGGGAGACUGGAAUUCCUGGUGUAGCGGUGAAAUGCGCAGAUAUCAGGAGGAACACCGGUGGCGAAGGCGGGUCUCUGGGCCUUACCUGACGCUGAGGAGCGAAAGCAUGGGUAGCCAACAGGAUUAGAUACCCUGGUA